ACGGAAAAAAAUUCUGUAAUGUAGAUAAAAGUUGCAGAGAAUUAAUCAAAUGACUGCUACAUUAAUCAAAUAAGCUAAGGCAGAUUUAGAUACCUCCACCAUUUUCCUUGAAAAUAUUUUUUAAAUGAGCCCGUUUUCCCACCAAUUUAGCUUCCAAAUUGCCUGCAAAAAUCAUACUAAUCACUAUUAUUAUCUUGAUGCUAAGGAAAAUAAAAUAAAUCAACAUGAAAAACUUUGAAACGCUCUAUCCUUAAAAUGGUUUCACACCUGUGUUUUGUGCAAUGAAAUGAGGAUUGGAUUUUCCAACUUAAAUCUUCAAUUCAAUCCCUUCAGGAUGAUGUUUUCACAGUCAAUUUCAACAGAAGGUAUGUGGGAAAUCUUGAACCACUCUCAUCCUUUACCCCUUUUCCACUCUUGUAGCAAUGAGCAGCAGGGAAUUUCUAGCUUCCCAAGCAAGAGAAGAAUGUCUUUUUCUGGAAGAGAUGUGAGUUUAGAGCGAUCAAAGAUGAAUAAAUAUUGAAGAGAGGUGAGGUUCUGAAAGCUCAUGCAGAACGUGUUGCAGAUUUUCGAAAUUUUGUAUGGAGAUAAAGGGGAGGAGGCAGUAUCAUUCCUAUCUCUUCUUCUGGCAAUGACACCACAUCUGUGCAUACUUCACCACCAAUGUAGAGUAUAAAAUACCUUUUUUACAGGCAUUUUUCUUUGAAUGGUUAAACUUCGGACUUUGAUGUGCUAGUGUAAUAUUUUCUAACUAAAAUGCCAUAUGCAAUGUCAUAUGAAAUGUGAAAUAUUUUCUAAUUAAAAUGCCAUAUGCAAUGUCAUAAAUUUUGCAAUCUUAUUUCUAAGAAGUUAAUAAAAAAGAAUAUAGUGCGAUCAUCAUGUUUAUUAAUAUGUUUAUGAAUUUAAUCCUUUUGGCUUCAUAUUCUUGUUGAGUAUUAAAACUAAUUGAACACCUUGUCCUCAUCAAAAUUUUGAUCAAUCAUUGAAAAUGAAAAAAAGAUUGACCUACCUAUGGCUGAAACUCUGAUUGAAUAGGGUGUAUUCACUAGUUUUCUCCCAUUUGUCCUUGUGAGAUGAAACAGAUUCCAAUUUUCCUCCAAGAUAACAAAUAAGCUGUUACUAGUACAAGCAU
RNAcentral lists this long non-coding RNA (1129 nucleotides) under Durio zibethinus. RNAcentral's name for it is "long non-coding RNA (DZIB_LNC001329)". Lineage: Eukaryota; Viridiplantae; Streptophyta; Magnoliopsida; Malvales; Malvaceae. The record is from RNAcentral.